Molecule: RNA transcript, 4801 nt
Organism: Macadamia integrifolia
Lineage: Eukaryota; Viridiplantae; Streptophyta; Magnoliopsida; Proteales; Proteaceae
Exons: 7
Source: RefSeq, a predicted model, not a curated record
GAGGUGUCACGGUGGAAUUAGUAUAGGGUUAGCGAUGGGAAGGUGAAGAUGAGGACAGCGAAGGGUUCUGCUAUGGAUUUGAGGUGUCAUGGAGGGGCAGCGAAGGUGGUUUGAGGUGUUAUGGAGGUCUGGCGAUGGUUCUGCUAUGAGUUCUGCGAUGGGUUUGCAGGUCUGGCGAAGGUGGAAGGAGAAGAAGGUGUCUGGUUCUGGUGUGAGGUUGUGGCUAUAGAUGGCUGCAGGAAGAAGAAGAAGAAGGUCAUCUGAUUUUGGUGUACAGGCUUGACAGCAACGGUGAGUAGAAGAAGGUAAUGGACUGGGUUUUCUUUGGGUGUUUGGGUUUUGGUGAUCAGGCCCGCUCUGAUACCAUGAAGAAUUGGGGAAAUUGUGACUUGUAGGCCUUCCUUUAUUUAUAGUAAAAACAAUAAUCCUAAAUCCUAACAUGAGUAGUAGUCCUAAUCCUACCAUGAAUCUGAGUGGUCGUAAUUACAUUAUUCAGCUGAAAUUAAUUCUUUCAUUAUUCAUCCCAGACAAGUUUAUUAUCCUAUGAAUGUUCUGUUCAAAAGAAAAGCUUUCCAAGUUUCAGGUUUUCCCUUUUUUUUAUGGGAAUUUCUCAAAUCAUUGGAUGGCAAACGAGGCCUACGAGGCUAUCUAUAUUCAAGUACCUCAAUCUGGGAUUAGUGUUUUUUGUGGAUUCCUUAAUGACUGCAGAGUUACAGAGACGAUGAAGAUCUCUGAAUACUUGAAUAACUCUCACUAUGAAAUAUACAGUUCUAUUCGGUCAAAGGGUCAGUCGGAGCAUUUCCUAUUUUCCCUAUAUUUCACGGUUGCAUAGCGACCAUAGCUUCAGAGACGGUGGCAGUGACAAUUGGUGUGAAGUUUGUGAUGGUUUCUCAAAGGGAGGAGGUCCAAAACUGAAUUUUGAUUCUGCUCUGCAAAAGGAUCCUCCUGCGACCCUCCCCUACAUGUCCAUUGUAGGAAUUCAUGACAAUGACGAAAAUGGUUCUCAGGAAGAUUCUUCCCCUCAGCAGAAAAAUUUCAAUGAUGUUAGGUUGGAUGCUGAUAGAAUUCUGAAAAUUCUCCACCAAGAUGAGCCGGAUUUUGAUGUUAGAUCGGCUCUUGACGAGUUGCAACUCAGGGUGUCAACAUUCCUUGUCAGAGAAGUUCUUAAAAGAAUGUUGAAAAUUGUAAACCGUACAAAUAAGAAUCGAUGUGCAAAGUUGAGUUACAAGUUCUUCAUUUGGGCCAGUCUGCAAAGUAAUUACAGCCACACCACGAACACCUACCACUUACUUAUGAGUAUCUUUGCAAGUUGCCAGGAGUGGAAGGCAAUGGGGAGAUUAGUUGAUCAGAUGACCGAAGAUGGGUUGCCAACUACUGCCAGAACAUUUAACAUCCUAAUAUGUACUUUCAGUGAGGCAGGUAUGAGAAGGAGAUUAGUGGAGAGAUUCAUUAAAUCAAAGACAUUUAGAUAUAGGCCGUUCAAGAACUCCUACAAUGCAAUUCUACAUUCUCUACUGGCCGUAAACCAAUACAAUUUGAUUGAGUGGUUGUACCGGCAAAUGCUUGUUGAUAAGCAUUCUCCUGAUGUUCUAACUUACAACAUACUUUUAUGUGCUAAGUAUAGACUGGGCAAGUUUAAUGAGUUCCAGACGGUGCUUGACGAUAUGUUUAGAAGUGGAAUUUCCCCAGAUUUCCACACAUAUAACAUUUUACUCAAUGUGCUUGGGAAAGAUAACAAUCCUUGUGCAGCUCUUGAGUUAUUAAAUCACAUGAAAGAAGUUGGUUGUGAGCCAAACAUUCUCCAUUUCACCACAUUGAUGGAUGGGUUGAGUCGGGCUGGAAAUUUGGUUGCCUGCCGUUAUUUUUUUGAUGAGAUGGUUAGGAAAGGGUACAUGCCAGAUGUGGUGUGUUACACAGUCAUGAUCACGGGAUACAUUGUUGCCGGGGAGCUUGAGAAUGCUCAGAAAAUGUUUGAUGAGAUGAUUGUCAAAGGGCAGUUACCGAAUGUCUUUACAUAUAAUUCCAUGUUACGUGGUCUUUGCAUGGCCCAGAAGUUUGAUGAGGCACAUGCAAUGCUGCGUGAAAUGGAAUCUAGAGGUUGCAAUCCAAAUUUCAUUGUUUACAGAACUCUAGUUGCUUAUCUGCGGAAUGCUGGGAAGCUGGAUGAAGCUUAUAAAGUGAUAGAGCAAAUGGUACAAAAGGGGCACUAUGUCCAUCUUCGUUCGAAACUUGAUGGAUAUGUUAAAGAGUUCAGAUGGAGGAUAGUGUACAAGUAGAAGAUUCUUUUUUCAUGAUCUCAGAAGGAGACACUUAUUUUUGUUACCCUGGUUCUUUUGUGACCUUUGCUGGCUGGUGCUCAUUCCAGACUUCUCAGAAGUUCAACAUUAUGGCUAUUACGAUGAUCAUUUCUCUGUAAAGCUGAAGGAGUUGACGUUUGAUCCAAUUGACUCUUUGCGGCGUGAAGUCCAAGAGGUCUCUUCAACUAUUCUUUUUUUCUUUUCAAAGUUAAUUGCAAGGUUCUUCAAAUCAGGUAAGAGAUCUGAAACUGUGAUUGAAUUCUGGUUUUGGAAAUCUCCAGAUUUCUCCUUACUGCCCCUACUCUGUUCUGGAAGAUCCAACCAGCCGAUGGCCCUCCCCUUUUGAUCGAUUGUUGGGUUUAUUAAGAGGGAGGUCGACCUUAAUUUGGGACCAAUCAUACUGGGGGAUUUUGAGUUAUGAAGUUUCUCCCUAUUCUGGCCGAUUUUUUUUGGUUUAUUUUUGCUGCCCAGAAUUUUGGGUUGGUUUGUCCAGAUUGUUGCUGAUUAGUUACUGAUUUGAUUCUCCAUUAUUUUAGUAUCAUUAGUGGGUGAUUUAUGUCCUUAAUCCACUGGUUAUUACUCAGUUAUAGAACUGCUGAAUUGUUGAAAUGAUUGAGUUGUUAGCUUCCCUAUUGAACUCGAUAGCUUGCUGGACUGUUAUAUACUACUCUGAUUUUUCUGUUAUGAUGUUGGGGCUGGUUUAUGGUUGUUCUUUGGUUUAAAAGUUCUUGCUGUUUGUGUCUAGUUUGAGUUUCAGAUCUAGUCCUACAUUACAACAUCAAAGGAGAUAGAUUUCCAAAUCUUAUCUAGGGAUCUAGAUUUGGCAGUCUAUCUUCGAAUGUUGCGCUCUAUCCAGAUAUGGUUAAUAGUAGCACAAAAGGCCAAUUUACCAGCAGUGUCACAAUUGGUCGAACCAAAGAAGGACAUGUCUAGCCAAAUAUAUUCUCUGUCAAAAGGGAGGAUUGAUCUUCUAGAAGGCCAGCAUUUGGAAAGGACAGAUUUCUAGACAUGGCAGGAAAAGGGGCAAGAGAAGAAGAGAUGGGGGAUAUCCUCUGUACGUGAGGGGCAUAAGCAGCAGGAAGGAUUGGUAGAGAUAUGGCGGUGAAUGAGGAAGGAUUGGGUGGGAAGACAGCUGGACAGGCAGCACCAGAGAGUGAAGCUCUGGCGGGGAAUAUGACCUUUAAACCAGACUAGUUUAUGCAGGGAACUAUCGGGGAAGGGAAACCGACAAAGGAUCAAGCGGAGGCAGAGGAGAAUAUCCCAUUGGUAGAGGGGAGCCAAAUACAAUGGUCGUCUCUUCCUCUAUGACCAGGGGGAAGAGGGGGAAGGGAGGACCAGAGGUCAAGCAGAGAAGGGUGGGAGGAGGGAGGUGACCAACCAUUGAGAGAAAGGAUAGAGGAGACCCAACCAUUUGAAUCUUGAAACUGCAUAAAUUGGAACUUGAGAUGAAGCUGACUUCCUGUUGUGGUUAUCGAUCAUGCUAGGAUAGAGGGCAAAUUCUAUUGAUCAUCCCAACACCAAAUCCUCAAAGCAUACUGCUACCAAGGUGAAGCAGUUACAUUUGCAAAUGGUGAAUGAAGCAUUCUAUUGUAAUCUAUCAAAAAGGGAGAGGGGUUGGUUGGAAUAAAAUGAAGAGCAUUCUGUUGUAUCCCAACCAUUUAAGAGGAAAAACUUAUUGCCAUGAUUCAUCCACAGGAGGUGGUAUCAGAUUCUCCAGUGGGGCUAAAAUCUGCAGUAUACUGAUUGUGUAAUCCACUUCAAACUUUAUCCAAGGACAGUGCCAGAUAUUCCCAUCUUAUGCAGAAGAGCCAUUCAUGACUUCAUUUUUCCUUCUGCAGGAGCGCCACAGGACUUCUCCAGGGAUGGCUGCAGCAUUACAGGCUGCAAUUAAUACCCCACAGUCAGAGAAACUAAAACAAGCACUGAAUAUGACACCUCGACUUCUUGACAUGUAUUUUUCUAUAGCACUACGAGAUGUAAAUAAUUCACUUAUUUGUCCAUUAAUCCCGCUACUUAUGUCAAGAAUUUCUACAUUAUUUCCAGACAAGGUUUUCGCAUAUGAGGUCCAGAGGAGGCUGUUAGAAUUCAUGCGAGCUGCAUUUCAACGAUCUCCAGAUUUCAUUGCACGGCUGAAGUGUUAAUAUAUCUAAAAUCCUUUGCACAAGCCCAACAUUGACAGACUUGGAGAAGCUUAUGACAGCCCUGCAAAGAUGGAGUUGACGUUACAGUUGUGUUGGGCUAUUGGGGAACAUGGAGGUGGAGGUGGAUCUCACAAAGAAGAUGUAGCUCGAGAGCUCUUUGAGAGCCUAGAAUUGCUUUUUUAUGAAAAUCUUUCGUCUAGGUUGGUGCUGUACUAGAACAUGCCAUCUGUAUUAUAGAAUGUACUUGUAGUCAAGGAUUAAAGUAUCGGUAUCGGUCGCCGUAUCGGUCGGCCAAAAUUAAGAUACGUAUCGGAGAGUAUCGUAUCGUAUCGGAGAUACACUAAGAUACGCUAAAGAUACACA